AGAGCUAUCGCCAAGCGGUUUAAGGCAGUUGUCUUUGAAGCAGCCAUUCAUAGGUUCAAAUCCUAUUAGUUCUA
RNAcentral lists this transfer RNA (74 nucleotides) under Zoogloea sp. Its description in RNAcentral is "tRNA-Gln". It matches the Rfam family "tRNA". From Rfam's summary of the family: Transfer RNA (tRNA) molecules are approximately 80 nucleotides in length. Their secondary structure includes four short double-helical elements and three loops (D, anti-codon, and T loops). Further hydrogen bonds mediate the characteristic L-shaped molecular structure. tRNAs have two regions of fundamental functional importance: the anti-codon, which is responsible for specific mRNA codon recognition, and the 3' end, to which the tRNAs corresponding amino acid is attached (by aminoacyl-tRNA synthetases). tRNAs cope with the degeneracy of the genetic code in two manners: having more than one tRNA (with a specific anti-codon) for a particular amino acid; and 'wobble' base-pairing, i.e. permitting non-standard base-pairing at the 3rd anti-codon position. The record is from RNAcentral. Lineage: Bacteria; Pseudomonadati; Pseudomonadota; Betaproteobacteria; Rhodocyclales; Zoogloeaceae.